CCUAAACAUGCAAGUCGAGCGGCAGCGGGAAAGUAGCUUGCUACUUUUGCCGGCGAGCGGCGGACGGGUGAGUAAUGCCUGGGAAAUUGCCCAGUCGAGGGGGAUAACAGUUGGAAACGACUGCUAAUACCGCAUACGCCCUACGGGGGAAAGCAGGGGACCUUCGGGCCUUGCGCGAUUGGAUAUGCCCAGGUGGGAUUAGCUUGUUGGUGAGGUAAUGGCUCACCAAGGCGACGAUCCCUAGCUGGUCUGAGAGGAUGAUCAGCCACACUGGAACUGASACACGGUCCAGACUCCUACGGGAGGCAGCAGUGGGGAAUAUUGCACAAUGGGGGAAACCCUGAUGCAGCCAUGCCGCGUGUGUGAAGAAGGCCUUCGGGUUGUAAAGCACUUUCAGCGAGGAGGAAAGGUUGGUAGCUAAUAACUGCCAACUGUGACGUUACUCGCAGAAGAAGCACCGGCUAACUCCGUGCCAGCAGCCGCGGUAAUACGGAGGGUGCAAGCGUUAAUCGGAAUUACUGGGCGUAAAGCGCACGCAGGCGGUUGGAUAAAUUAAAUGUGAAAGCCCCGGGCUCAACCUGGGAAUUG
This 588-nucleotide ribosomal RNA is filed under the name Aeromonas sp. STEP_aq_266. Its description in RNAcentral is "bacterial SSU rRNA". It matches the Rfam family "Bacterial small subunit ribosomal RNA", at positions 48 to 623 of the family's 1533-position model. Lineage: Bacteria; Pseudomonadati; Pseudomonadota; Gammaproteobacteria; Aeromonadales; Aeromonadaceae. The record is from RNAcentral.